AGGACGGAGAUCGAAGACUAACA
RNAcentral lists this non-coding RNA (23 nucleotides) under Cricetulus griseus (Chinese hamster). Lineage: Eukaryota; Metazoa; Chordata; Mammalia; Rodentia; Cricetidae. The record is from RNAcentral.